AAGAGUAAGGGUCUUCUAGGCCCGACCUCCCAAACCCUUUGUUUAUCAUACCUUGUGUUGCUUCGGUAGGCCUGGAUUUAAUCGUCCUGCCGGAGGACCGUUAAAACGUCCUCUGGAGAGUGCCUACCGACAGCCCCCAAACCACAAAAAUUCUUAACCAAACAUGUCUUUGUCUAAGUAAAACAAACAAAUAAAAGCA
This 199-nucleotide unclassified non-coding RNA is filed under the name uncultured fungus. RNAcentral describes it as "sequence contains ITS1, 5.8S rRNA gene". The record is from RNAcentral. Lineage: Eukaryota; Fungi.